UACGUAGGGUGCAGGCGUUAAUCGGAAUUACUGGGCGUAAAGCGUGCGCAGGCGGCUUCCUAAGUCAGAUGUGAAAUCCCCGGGCUCAACCUGGGAACUGCAUUUGUGACUGCACAGCUAGAGUUUGUCAGAGGGGGGUGGAAUUCCACGUGUAGCAGUGAAAUGCGUAGAGAUCGGCAGGAACACCCAAGGGGAAGCCAGCUGGCUGGGCAUUUGCUGACGCUCAUGUGCGACAGCGUGGGGAGCGAACUGG
This 253-nucleotide ribosomal RNA is filed under the name uncultured bacterium. RNAcentral's name for it is "partial 16S ribosomal RNA". It matches the Rfam family "Bacterial small subunit ribosomal RNA", at positions 524 to 776 of the family's 1533-position model. The record is from RNAcentral.